CCUUGUACACACCGCCCGUCACAUCACGAAAGCCAGUUGUACUAGAAGCCGGUAAUUUAACCGCAAGGGAUAGCCGUCCAAGGUAUGACUGGUGAUUGGGGUG
Molecule: ribosomal RNA, 103 nt
Filed under: uncultured bacterium
Lineage: Bacteria
Description: partial 16S ribosomal RNA
Rfam family: Bacterial small subunit ribosomal RNA
Source: RNAcentral